AUGUGGCACAAGACCGGCAAUACCUUGCCGGUGAUGGUCAACGGCCGGCAGAUGGGGGGCAAGAAGGUUCUAGUGCUGCACACCAACAAGAACUUCGACCAGCAGAGGACCAACUGGGUGAUGCACCAGUACCACCUCGGGGACCUGGAGCAAGAGAAGGAGCGGGAGCUGUACUACCUUGUUGUCCGCAAGUUGGUAUUGUUGUUAACGAUCUUUCGGUCGAGCAAGUUUCAACUGGGCUCUAGACUGCCCAGUCUUGGUUUUGUUUUUAACAGGCCCAGCCCAUGA
RNAcentral lists this ribosomal RNA (288 nucleotides) under Triticum aestivum (bread wheat). Its description in RNAcentral is "partial small subunit ribosomal RNA". Lineage: Eukaryota; Viridiplantae; Streptophyta; Magnoliopsida; Poales; Poaceae. The record is from RNAcentral.